CAGUAUGAGCCAGCCAGCACUAGUCAAGUUAUUAAGUGACUGUAACCAGGGCAUUUUUUUCCAAGAUUGUAACAUCCUGCAGCUCAGUUUCUGAGAGCCAAACAAGCAUUGAUUCCUGCAUUUCUGAAGACCUCCAGAUCUAGACUACUGUUGAAAAAUUUCCAGUGAGAAAUGGCAAAUCAACGUGGGAGGAUUAUUCUGCUUAAAGUAUUAUAUGAAAUCAAUGCUGAUCAUUUUAAGAUGAUUAAGUUCUUACUGUCUGGUGCUUUAAAUCUGACUGAAAAAAUGCAAGAAGAAUAUGACAAAGUUCAGAUUGCUAACUUGUUGGUAAAAAGGUUCCCACGUGAUGCCGGUGUGGACAAACUUAUACAACUCUGCAAAGAUAUACCAGCAUUCCAAGGAUUUGUUAAAACUCUUAAAGAAGAAAAGUCAAAAGUUGUGAAAAAAGUUAAAUCCACACCAGAAAAAGGAACACCCUCAAAAAAGAGCAAGCAGAAAGAAGAGGGUCCUUCUACACCUGCCCCCUCCACAAGCAAAGUUCUCACACAUGAAGGAGCAGAGGUGACUCCUGGACCUCAGAAAAGAAAAAACACAGCCAAAAGAAAGGACGGGACUAAAAGGAGUAAGGUGUCGGAGGAGCAGACUCAAUCUCCAUGUCUUGCCGGAGCCAGCACAUCCACAAGCAUGGGCCGUCUCCCACCUCCCCAGACCUCAUCAGCUCCAUCCAACACUUUCCCACCUGAGAUCCCAAAACCACCGGCCACCUCUCAGACAACCACUAGAAAACUUGAUCUCCAAAAGGGCCCGAUGGUGGUGAUGGUGCUGAGUGCAGCAGAUCCAUUUGCAUAUGAGUCCUCAGAAAAGGAGACCAAAAAAAUGUUUCAUGCUACGGUGGCUACAGAGAAACAGUUCUUUCAUAUGAAGGUUUUCAACAUCAAGUUGAAGAGAAUAUUCACCAGAAAGAGAAUCAUCACCAUAUCAGAUUAUUUUGAAUAUGACCAUCUCCUAGAGGUGAAUGAAGCCUCUUCUGUAUCUGAAGCUGGUCCUGACCAAAAGAUUGAGGUUCCAAACAACGUCAUGAACAGAGCAAAGGAAACCCUGCCGAUAGAUAUUAUUAAAACGCAAGCUUCUGGGACUAUUGUAUAUGGAUUAUUUACACUACGUACGAAAACAGUAAAUAAGAACAACACAAUCUAUGAAAUCCAUGAUAAUGAAGGAGAAAUUGAAGUAGUGGGGAAGGGAAAAUGUCACAAUAUUCCCUGUGAGGAAGGAGAUAAACUUCAACUUUUCUGCUUUCGACUGAGAAAAAAGAAACCGACAUCAAAACUGAUUUCUGAAAUACAUAGUUUCAUUCAGGUAAAGACAAAAGCAAACCAGAGAAAAUCUGAUUUGAAAACCAUGAAACCUCCCGAGGAGCAGAGUGAGGCUCCAAAACAUUCAGAGGCUGGCACAACCCUGACUCAGAACCAUCCCCAGAUUCCUCAUAUGGCUCGAGCGGCCCCAUCAAGCACUUUCUUAUUUAAGAAGGAAGCACCCAUUCCAGGAGCAGAAACAUCCUCUGCAAGCUUCAGAGGCAGCACAUCAACUGCACCCUAUGGUUAUUUUUACAUGCCAUAUCAAGGAAUCCGGUCGGACAGUUUCUUUAACAAGUGGAAACAUGCAAUGAUUUAAUGGAAGAGCUCUGCUUUACUCACUGGGACAGGAUUUAAAGCAACAUCACUGGUGGGCAGACACAGAUUUUGCUAGCAAGACAGCUGCUGCGGAAAAGUUCCUGUGCUACCCAGGAGCAGAAAUCCUGAUUGUGAAUAAAAUUGAAUCUACACCAACAAAAGGAACAACCCUCUCAAAAAAGAGCAAGAAGAAAGAAGAGGGUCCUGCCACACCUGCCCCCUCCACAAGCACAUUUCUCACAUCUGAAGGAGCAGAGGUGACUCCUGGACCUCAGGUAAGA
Lemur catta (Ring-tailed lemur) is the source of this 1951-nucleotide RNA transcript. It is a transcript of the gene named pyrin and HIN domain-containing protein 1-like, with no coding region annotated. NCBI's taxonomy places the organism in Eukaryota, Metazoa, Chordata, Mammalia, Primates, Lemuridae. The record is from RefSeq and is a predicted model, not a curated record. The transcript has 10 exons.